Regulatory RNA element from Streptomyces uncialis, 47 nucleotides. It matches the Rfam family "L31-Actinobacteria ribosomal protein leader". Lineage: Bacteria; Bacillati; Actinomycetota; Actinomycetes; Kitasatosporales; Streptomycetaceae. The record is from Rfam.
UCGGCCCCGGUUCACGCCCGCGCAGCAGGCGUCGGCGACCCGGAGCC